GGCAGGUUGCCCGAGUGGCCAAAGGGAGCGGUCUGUAAAACCGUCGGCGUAGUCCUACGUUGGUUCAAAUCCAACACCUGCCACCA
This 86-nucleotide transfer RNA is filed under the name Tessaracoccus palaemonis. RNAcentral's name for it is "Tessaracoccus sp. J1M15 tRNA-Tyr". It matches the Rfam family "tRNA". From Rfam's summary of the family: Transfer RNA (tRNA) molecules are approximately 80 nucleotides in length. Their secondary structure includes four short double-helical elements and three loops (D, anti-codon, and T loops). Further hydrogen bonds mediate the characteristic L-shaped molecular structure. tRNAs have two regions of fundamental functional importance: the anti-codon, which is responsible for specific mRNA codon recognition, and the 3' end, to which the tRNAs corresponding amino acid is attached (by aminoacyl-tRNA synthetases). tRNAs cope with the degeneracy of the genetic code in two manners: having more than one tRNA (with a specific anti-codon) for a particular amino acid; and 'wobble' base-pairing, i.e. permitting non-standard base-pairing at the 3rd anti-codon position. RNAcentral also lists the same sequence under 1 other name. The record is from RNAcentral. Lineage: Bacteria; Bacillati; Actinomycetota; Actinomycetes; Propionibacteriales; Propionibacteriaceae.